Long non-coding RNA from Topomyia yanbarensis, 381 nucleotides. RefSeq lists it as uncharacterized. The transcript has 2 exons. The record is from RefSeq and is a predicted model, not a curated record. Lineage: Eukaryota; Metazoa; Arthropoda; Insecta; Diptera; Culicidae.
GUCGGUGUAACUGCGGACCCCCCGAUAACUGACAGUUCACCGUGAAGAAGAAUAAAACAAAAACAAAGUGUAUCGAGAUAGUGCAGGAAAUUUGGAAUUUAUACUAAAAUAAUUAAAAGUUCAGUGUAAGGGAAUGAUCGGUUGAAUUUAGGGAAUCUAUUUACGCAAUUUAACCCUUCGUAUCACACGAGGACUGAGGACCCAAGGCGCAGACAUUACAUCGUAUUGCUUUGUACGGGUAUAAUUUGAAGAAGAAGAGGAAAGGAUCAGAAAGUAUCAAGGAGAAUUCAGGAAGGAUCGAAGUCGUAAGGAAGGAGGAAACUAUUAGAUUUUUGAGCUGCUCCGAAUAGCUGCUGCAAAAUAAAUAGUGUACUCGAACAA